AUGCUGAGCAACAGUUCCAUGCCUUUAUCACAGCACAAUGAUACAAAACAGGAGGCAGAGAAAUGCAGCAUUCCUAGAGAAAUGGGGUUCUUUGAAGCUCUGUAUAUCCAGGGCAACCAGAACACCUCCAAGUGGAACACAGGUAUCCUGCAAGGGCACCCACACCUAAGGACAGGAUUUCAUAGCUGGGACAGCCUAAAGCCAGGCAGCAGGGAUGAUCCAUGGGAUGGUGCCUUGGGGAUGAUGCCUGCAGUACUCCUAAAAUACGGGAACAUGACUGAAGACAGAGCUGAGAGAAGCCUGGUAACUGACAGAAAAUAUCCCAGCAAUGGAUGAAGAAGCAAACGAAUAAAAUAAUGAAGUGAUAAGUCA
Molecule: long non-coding RNA, 372 nt
Filed under: Anas platyrhynchos platyrhynchos (common mallard)
Lineage: Eukaryota; Metazoa; Chordata; Aves; Anseriformes; Anatidae
Description: lncRNA (ENSAPLG00000020222.1)
Source: RNAcentral